Molecule: ribosomal RNA, 87 nt
Filed under: Lyophyllum decastes
Lineage: Eukaryota; Fungi; Basidiomycota; Agaricomycetes; Agaricales; Lyophyllaceae
Description: partial 28S ribosomal RNA
Source: RNAcentral
CUCCUCUCAGGACCACUUCUUUACUUUUUGAACUCAAAUCAAAUAAGACUACCCGGUGAACUUAAGCAUAUCAAAAACCGGAAGAAA